This is a non-coding RNA of Cordylochernes scorpioides, 109 nucleotides long. The record is from the annotation of a GenBank genome assembly. Lineage: Eukaryota; Metazoa; Arthropoda; Arachnida; Pseudoscorpiones; Chernetidae.
UAAAUUAUACCACAUUGAAAACAUCAGUUCUCAUCUAAUCACCAAAGUUAAGCAAUGUCGGUCAGUACUUGGGAGGGUGACCACCUGACAACACUGGGUGCUGUAGCCU